This 752-nucleotide ribosomal RNA is filed under the name uncultured bacterium. RNAcentral describes it as "bacterial SSU rRNA". It matches the Rfam family "Bacterial small subunit ribosomal RNA", at positions 653 to 1399 of the family's 1533-position model. The record is from RNAcentral.
AGGGGAGGAGUGGAAAUUCCCAUUGUAGCCGGGAAAAAGCGUAGAUAAUAUGAGGGAACACCGGGGGCGAAAAAGCGGCUUUCUGGUCUGUAACUGACGCUGAGGCUCGAAAGCGGGGGGAGCAAACAAGAUUAGAUACCCUGGUAGUCCACCCCGAAAACGAUGAGUGCUAGGUGUUAGGCCCUUUCCGGGGCUUAGUGCCGCAGCUAACGCAUUAAGCACUCCGCCUGGGGAGUACGACCGCAAGGUUGAAACUCAAAGGAAUUGACGGGGGCCCGCACAAGCGGUGGAGCAUGUGGUUUAAUUCGAAGCAACGCGAAGAACCUUACCAGGUCUUGACAUCCCAGUGACCGCUCUAGAGAUAGAGUUUUUCUUCGGAACACUGGUGACAGGUGGUGCAUGGUUGUCGUCAGCUCGUGUCGUGAGAUGUUGGGUUAAGUCCCGCAACGAGCGCAACCCUUAUUGUUAGUUGCCAUCAUUCAGUUGGGCACUCUAGCGAGACUGCCGGUAAUAAACCGGAGGAAGGUGGGGAUGACGUCAAAUCAUCAUGCCCCUUAUGACCUGGGCUACACACGUGCUACAAUGGUUGGUACAACGAGUCGCAAGUCGGUGACGGCAAGCAAAUCUCUUAAAGCCAAUCUCAGUUCGGAUUGUAGGCUGCAACUCGCCUACAUGAAGUCGGAAUCGCUAGUAAUCGCGGAUCAGCACGCCGCGGUGAAUACGUUCCCGGGCCUUGCACACACCGCCCGUCA